RNAcentral lists this long non-coding RNA (237 nucleotides) under Ananas comosus (pineapple). Its description in RNAcentral is "long non-coding RNA (ACOM_LNC004561)". Lineage: Eukaryota; Viridiplantae; Streptophyta; Magnoliopsida; Poales; Bromeliaceae. The record is from RNAcentral.
AUAGGAGGAGAUUCAGGAUUAGUUAAAGAUGUUAAAACUCAUCGGGUAAAGGUUUUUUGAGAGAUAUAAGUAGCACGCUACCCGCUUCAUUUAUUUUAUUUAAAAAUUAACUUAGGUAGAAAUAUGAAUCAAUUAGGAUUCAAACUUGAGAUCUCAGAUACCAAGUACCAAGUCUUUGACAGUUGUUUCUAUCAAUAUUUAUUUGCUAAAGUUAAAAAAGAAAAGUUAUUGUAAAGG